CAUGACUGGGGUGAAGUCGUAACAAGGUAGCCCUAGGGGAACCUGGGGCUGGAUCACCUCCUUAUACGA
This 69-nucleotide ribosomal RNA is filed under the name Pseudoalteromonas citrea. RNAcentral describes it as "partial 16S ribosomal RNA". It matches the Rfam family "Bacterial small subunit ribosomal RNA", at positions 1470 to 1533 of the family's 1533-position model. Lineage: Bacteria; Pseudomonadati; Pseudomonadota; Gammaproteobacteria; Alteromonadales; Pseudoalteromonadaceae. The record is from RNAcentral.